AUUGAACGCUGGCGGCAUGCUUUACACAUGCAAGUCGAACGGUAACAGGUUAAGCUGACAAGUGGCGAACGGGUGAGUAAUGCAUCGGAACGUGCCCGAUCGUGGGGGAUAACACUUCGAAAGAAGUGCUAAUACCGCAUACGAUCUGAGGAUGAAAGCGGGGGACCGUAAGGCCUCGCGCGAUCGGAGCGGCCGAUGUCAGAUUAGGUAGUUGGUGGGGUAAAGGCUCACCAAGCCGACGAUCUGUAGCUGGUCUGAGAGGACGACCAGCCACACUGGGACUGAGACACGGCCCAGACUCCUACGGGAGGCAGCAGUGGGGAAUUUUGGACAAUGGGCGCAAGCCUGGUCCAGCAAUGCCGCGUGCAGGAAGAAGGCCUUCGGGUUGUAAACUGCUUUUGUACGGAGCGAAAAGGCUCUCUCUAAUACAGGGGGCUCAUGACGGUACCGUAAGAAUAAGCACCGGCUAACUACGUGCCAGCAGCCGCGGUAA
RNAcentral lists this ribosomal RNA (493 nucleotides) under uncultured bacterium. Its description in RNAcentral is "partial 16S ribosomal RNA". It matches the Rfam family "Bacterial small subunit ribosomal RNA", at positions 30 to 523 of the family's 1533-position model. The record is from RNAcentral.